AUGGACGAAGAAAAUCCUGUUGAGCUGUUACAACGUUAUCGCCGUGAUCGCCAUGUGUUGCUCAAUUACAUCCUUUCUGGUAACUUGAUCAAGAAAGUUGUAAUGCCGCCUGGUGCUAUCUCUCUAGAUGACGUGGAUAUUGAUCAAGUCAGUGUUGAUUAUGUCCUCAAUUGUGCUAAGAAAGGGGAUCCACUUGACCUUGGAGAUGCCAUCCGGCUUUAUCAUGACAGCCUUGAUUACCCAUAUGUCGAUAACACAGGAGAUGUUGAAGGGUUCUAUUUACUUACAAGACCUGAAUAUUCUGGAUCAGCACCAACAAGAGAACCACCCCCUGUCCCUGCCGCUGCACCAUUACCAGUUGUGGUACCACCACCAGUUGUUGAACAACCACAAAUUGCUGUUCCAUCAUCAGUUGCAAACUUACCAAAAUCAUUAUCAUUGGACUCUCCCACCGAGAAGGAAUUAACCAUAGAUGACAUUGAAGACUUUGAGGAUGAUGAAGGUGAAUUCGAUAGUCGAAGGGCUUCUAGGAGGCAUCAAACUGAUGCCAAUGAUAUAUCCUUGCGCUUACCAUUAUUUGAAACAGGUAUCACAGAUGAUGAUCUUCGUGAAACAGCAUAUGAAAUCCUUGUUGCUGCUGCUGGCGCUUCAGGGGGGCUUAUAGUCCCAAAGAAAGAAAAGAAGAAAGAGAAGAGACACAGAUUAAUGAGGAAACUUGGCCGUAGUAAGAGUGAAAGUGCUGAAUCGCAAACUCACCGGCAACCAGGUUUAGUUGGCCUGCUUGAAAUCUUGAGAGCCCAACUUGAGAUAACGGAGUCCAUGGAUAUUAGGACUAGGCAGGGACUACUUAAUGCUAUGGUGGGUAAAGUCGGAAAACGGAUGGACAAUCUCUUGAUACCACUGGAACUACUGUGCUCUAUAUCUAGAGCUGAAUUUUCUGACAUGAAGGCAUAUCUUCGUUGGCAGAAAAGACAGCUGAACAUGCUGGAGGAGGGCCUAAUAAACUAUCCUGUUGUUGGAUUUGGAGAGUUAGGUCGAAAAGUCAAUGAGCUAAGAAAUCUUUUCAGAAAGAUUGAAGAAUCUGAGUCCCUAUCCCCAUCUGCUGCGGAGGUUCAACGUACAGAAUGCCUACGUUCACUGAGAGAAGUUGCUACAUCUUUCUCUGAAAGGCCUGCUCGUGGCGAUCUUACCGGUGAGGUUUGUCAUUGGGCUGAUGGUUACCAUCUGAAUGCCGCCUUGUAUGAAAAAAUGCUUGGCAGUGUUUUUGACACCUUAGAUGAGGGAAAACUCACAGAGGAGGUGGAAGAAAUCCUUGAGCUCCUAAAGUCCACUUGGCGUAUACUAGGAAUCACAGAGACAAUUCAUGAUACGUGCUAUGCAUGGGUAUUAUUCCGACAGUUUGUUUUUACAGGCGAGCAAGGACUCCUGAAAGUUGUGAUUGAGCAUUUGAGGAAGAUACCCUUGAAGGAACAGCGUGGUCCACAAGAACGCUUACACUUGAAAAGUCUACGUAGUUCUGUUGAUGCCGAUGAUAGCUGCCAGGACUUUACGUUUUUCCAGUCUUUCCUGUCUCCAGUUCAGAAAUGGGUGGACAAGAAAUUGAAUGAUUAUCAUCUGCACUUCUCAGAGGCUAUGUCUGAUUUGUUAUUCACCACCGAAUGUUGCAACACAUAUGCGCAUAAGGGUUCCAGUAUGAUGGUUGAUAUCAUAACAGUAGCAAUGCUUACUAGGCGAAUCCUUGGUGAAGAAAAUGACAAGGCAAUGGAGUCACCUGAUCGAGACCAGAUUGACCGUUACAUCACUUCUUCUGUCAAAAGUGCUUUCAUGAAGAUUGCACAUUCCGUAGAGAUUAAAGCAGACACAUCACAUGAGCAUGUUUUAGCAUCUCUAGCCGAGGAGACAAAGAAGCUUUUGAAGAUAGAGACAAACAUUUUUUCCCCAGUUUUGUCAAGAUGGCAUCCACAGGCAGCAGUUCUUUCUGCUUCCCUUCUCCAUAAACUGUAUGGAAACAAAUUGGGACCUUUUCUUGAGCAUUCUGAGCAUCUUACGGAGGACGUAGUUUCUGUAUUUCCGGCAGCUGAUUCUUUGGAGCAGUACAUAAUGUCAGUGAUGGCUUCUGUUGUGGGUGACGAUGGUUUGGACAGUCUAUGUAGACAAAAGCUAGUUCCUUAUGAGAUUGAAAGUAAAUCGGGCACGGUUGUUUUACGCUGGGUGAAUGGGCAACUGGAGAGAGUUGAAACUUGGGUUAAAAGGGCUGCUGAACAAGAGACUUGGGAUCCUAUAUCCCCUCAACAACGCCAUGGGGGUUCUAUUGUUGAAGUCUAUAGAAUCAUAGAAGAGACUGCAGAUCAGUUUUUUGCAUUCAAGGUUCCUAUGCGAAUUGGGGAAUUAAAUAGCUUCUGUCGUGGCAUUGACAAGGCAUUUCAAAUUUAUACACAACUUGUUACUCAACCCAUAGUUGACAAAGAAGAUUUAGUUCCACCUGUUCCUGUCCUUACCCGAUAUAAAAAGGAGCUUGGGAUCAAAGCUUUCGUAAAAAAGGAAAUCCAAGAAGUCAGACCUGUUGAUGAGAGAAAAUCGAGUGAAAUAGUUCAACUUACAAUGUCAAAGCUAUGUGUGCGGCUUAACAGUCUAUAUUAUGCUAUAAGCCAGCUAGGCAAGUUGGAGGACAGCAUAAGUGAGCGGUGGGCUAAAAGGCAAAGUGACAAAAUUAACAUCAGACGAUCAAUGAACGGCAAGUCAAAGGGCAUAGUCUCCAAUCAGAAGAAUCAAUUUGAUGGCAGUAGAAAAGAAAUCAAUGCUGCUAUUGAUCGGGUAUGUGAAUGUACAGGGUUAAAGGUCAUAUUUUGGGACCUCCAACAGCCAUUCAUCGACAAUAUGUACAAAAACAAUGUUUUACAAGCUCGAUUGGACACUAUUGUCGAAGUGCUUGAUUUGGUGCUUGCUCAACUCUGUGACGUCAUUGUGGAGCAACUGCGAGAUCGUGUGGUUACAGGGCUUCUGCAAGCAUCCCUGGAUGGCUUAGUUCGGGUAAUACUAGAUGGAGGUCCUACACGCGUCUUCUCUCCAAAUGAUGCCCCUCUUUUGGAGGAAGAUCUUGAAAUUCUUAAGGAAUUCUUCAUAUCUGGCGGAGAUGGGCUGCCUCGUGGAACUGUUGAGAAUUUGGUCUCGCGUGUUCGUCCUGUAAUAAAUCUGAUCAAGCAAGAGACCCGUGUGCUUAUUGAUGAUCUGCGCGAAGUUACUCAAGGGGGCAAAAGCAAAUUCGGAAGCGACUCCAAAACCCUGCUGAGGGUCCUGUGCCACAGAAAUGAUUCAGAGGCAUCACACUAUGUAAAGAAGCAUUUCAAGAUACCCAGUUCAGCUCCCCCGAGCACCUGA
RNAcentral lists this ribosomal RNA (3378 nucleotides) under Triticum aestivum (bread wheat). RNAcentral describes it as "partial small subunit ribosomal RNA". The record is from RNAcentral. Lineage: Eukaryota; Viridiplantae; Streptophyta; Magnoliopsida; Poales; Poaceae.